CGUGUAGGCGGUUUGGUAAGUUGGGUGUGAAAGCUCCGGGCUCAACCCGGAGAUGCCGCUCAAUACUACCAGACUAGAGGACGAUAGAGGGAGGUGGAAUUCCGGGUGUAGCGGUGAAAUGCGUAGAUACCCGGAGGAACACCAGUGGCGAAGGCGGCCUCCUGGGUCGUUCCUGACGCUCAGACGCGAAAGCUAGGGUAGCGAACG
Molecule: ribosomal RNA, 207 nt
Filed under: uncultured bacterium
Lineage: Bacteria
Description: partial 16S ribosomal RNA
Rfam family: Bacterial small subunit ribosomal RNA
Source: RNAcentral